This 86-nucleotide non-coding RNA is filed under the name Arthrobacter sp. AG1021. The record is from RNAcentral. Lineage: Bacteria; Bacillati; Actinomycetota; Actinomycetes; Micrococcales; Micrococcaceae.
CGAUCCUGUCCGCGAGGACGGGAUUGAUGGGACAGAAGUCAGCAGAGGUCAUAGUACCUGCCUAGGAAUUCACUUCGGGUGUGGAG